GACAGAGGGUGCAAACGUUGUUCGGAAUUACUGGGCGUAAAGCGCGUGUAGGCGGCUAUGCAAGUCGGAUGUGAAAGCCCUCGGCUCAACCGGGGAAGUGCACCCGAAACUGCAAAGCUAGAGUCUCGGAGAGGAUCGUGGAAUUCUCGGUGUAGAGGUGAAAUUCGUAGAUAUCGAGAGGAACACCGGUGGCGAAGGCGAGUCUCUGGACAUUUCCUGACGCUGAGGCACGAAAGCCAGGGGAGCAAACGGG
This 253-nucleotide ribosomal RNA is filed under the name uncultured bacterium. RNAcentral describes it as "partial 16S ribosomal RNA". It matches the Rfam family "Bacterial small subunit ribosomal RNA", at positions 524 to 776 of the family's 1533-position model. The record is from RNAcentral.